GAUGAACGCUGGCGGCGUGCCUAAUACAUGCAAGUCGAGCGAGUGGAUUAAGAGCUUGCUCUUAUGAAGUUAGCGGCGGACGGGUGAGUAAUACGUGGGUAACCUGCCCAUAAGACUGGGAUAACUCCGGGAAACCGGGGCUAAUACCGGAUAACAUUUUGAACCGCAUGGUUCGAAAUUGAAAGGCGGCUUCGGCUGUCACUUAUGGAUGGACCCGCGUCGCAUUAGCUAGUUGGUGAGGUAACGGCUCACCAAGGCAACGAUGCGUAGCCGACCUGAGAGGGUGAUCGGCCACACUGGGACUGAGACACGGCCCAGACUCCUACGGGAGGCAGCAGUAGGGAAUCUUCCGCAAUGGACGAAAGUCUGACGGAGCAACGCCGCGUGGGUGAUGAAGGCUUUCGGGUCGUAAAACUCUGUUGUUAGGGAAGAACAAGUGCUAGUUGAAUAAGCUGGCACCUUGACGGUACCUAACCAGAAAGCCACGGCUAACUACGUGCCAGCCGCCGCAGUAA
RNAcentral lists this ribosomal RNA (515 nucleotides) under uncultured bacterium. Its description in RNAcentral is "partial 16S ribosomal RNA". It matches the Rfam family "Bacterial small subunit ribosomal RNA", at positions 28 to 523 of the family's 1533-position model. The record is from RNAcentral.